UACGUAGGGUCCGAGCGUUGUCCGGAAUUAUUGGGCGUAAAGGGCUCGUAGGCGGUCUGUUGCGUCGGGAGUGAAAACUUACAGCUUAACUGUGAGCGUGCUUUCGAUACGGGCAGACUUGAGGCAUUCAGGGGAGAACGGAAUUCCUGGUGUAGCGGUGGAAUGCGCAGAUAUCAGGAGGAACACCGGUGGCGAAGGCGGCAUCCUGGACCGGUAUUGACGCUGAGGCGCGAAAGCCAGGGGAGCAAACGGG
This 253-nucleotide ribosomal RNA is filed under the name uncultured bacterium. Its description in RNAcentral is "partial 16S ribosomal RNA". It matches the Rfam family "Bacterial small subunit ribosomal RNA", at positions 524 to 776 of the family's 1533-position model. The record is from RNAcentral.